RNAcentral lists this ribosomal RNA (465 nucleotides) under Vreelandella stevensii. RNAcentral describes it as "partial 16S ribosomal RNA". It matches the Rfam family "Bacterial small subunit ribosomal RNA", at positions 338 to 795 of the family's 1533-position model. The record is from RNAcentral. Lineage: Bacteria; Pseudomonadati; Pseudomonadota; Gammaproteobacteria; Oceanospirillales; Halomonadaceae.
CCUACGGGGGGCUGCAGUGGGGAAUAUUGGACAAUGGGGGGAACCCUGAUCCAGCCAUGCCGCGUGUGUGAAGAAGGCCCUCGGGUUGUAAAGCACUUUCAGUGAGGAAGAACGCCUGGUGGUUAAUACCCAUCAGGAAAGACAUCACUCACAGAAGAAGCACCGGCUAACUCCGUGCCAGCAGCCGCGGUAAUACGGAGGGUGCGAGCGUUAAUCGGAAUUACUGGGCGUAAAGCGCGCGUAGGUGGCUUGAUAAGCCGGUUGUGAAAGCCCCGGGCUCAACCUGGGAACGGCAUCCGGAACUGUCAAGCUAGGGUGCAGGAGAGGAAGGUAGAAUUCCCGGUGUAGCGGUGAAAUGCGUAGAGAUCGGGAAGAAUACCAGUGGCGAAGGCGGCCUUCUGGACUGACACUGACACUGAGGUGCGAAAGCGUGGGUAGCAAACAGGAUUAGAUACCCUGGUAGUC